This 381-nucleotide ribosomal RNA is filed under the name uncultured eukaryote. RNAcentral describes it as "partial 18S ribosomal RNA". It matches the Rfam family "Eukaryotic small subunit ribosomal RNA", at positions 592 to 976 of the family's 1831-position model. The record is from RNAcentral.
CAAUAGCGUAUAUUAAAGCUGUUGCGGUUAAAAAGCUCGUAGUUGGAUUUCUGUCAAGGACAACUGGUCCGCCCUUCGGGUGAGCACAUAGUUUGGUCUUGGCAUCUUGUUGGAAACUGUUGCUGCACUUGGUUGUGUGGCGCAGCGUCCAGCACUUUCACUUUGAGGAAAUUGGAGUGUUUCAAGCAGGCACAUGCCUUUGGACACAGUAGCAUGGAAUAAUUAGAUUGGGCUUUUGCUCCAACUUGUCGGUUUCUGGAGCUGAGGUGAGAAUUAAUGGGGAUUGUUGGGGGCAUCCGAAUUUAGCCGUCAGAGGUGAAAUUCUUGGAUUUGUUAAAGACGGACAACUGCGAAAGCAUUUGCCCAAGAUGUUUUCAUUGA